Molecule: ribosomal RNA, 392 nt
Filed under: uncultured bacterium
Lineage: Bacteria
Description: partial 16S ribosomal RNA
Rfam family: Bacterial small subunit ribosomal RNA
Source: RNAcentral
AUACGGAAGGUCCGGGCGUUAUCCGGAUUUAUUGGGUUUAAAGGGAGCGCAGGCGGCUGUUUAAGCGUGCCGUGAAAUGCCGUGGCUAAACCAUGGCACUGCGGCGCGAACUGGGCGGCUUGAGUCGGCGGAAGGUGAGCGGAAUGCGUGGUGUAGCGGUGAAAUGCUUAGAUAUCACGAGGAAAUCCGAUUGCGAAGGCGGCGCGCCGCAGCUGAACUGACGCUCAUGCUCGAAGGCGCGGGUAUCGAACAGGAUUAGAUACCCUGGUAGUCCGCGCGGUAAACGAUGGACGCCCGCUGUGUGCCAUUGCGGUACGCGGCCAAGCGAAAGCGUUAAGCGUCCCACCUGGGGAGUACGCCGGCAACGGUGAAACUCAAAGGAAUUGACAGGG